AGGACGAACGCUGGCGGCGUGCUUAACACAUGCAAGUCGAACGGUGAACCAGGGCUUGCCCUGGGAAUCAGUGGCGAACGGGUGAGUAACACGUGACCAACCUGCCCCUAACUCUGGGAUAACCCCGGGAAACCGGAGCUAAUACCGGAUACGAGACCGAGUGGCAUCACACGGUCUGGAAAGUUUUUCGGUUAGGGAUGGGGUCGCGGCCUAUCAGCUUGUUGGUGGGGUAAUGGCCUACCAAGGCGACGACGGGUA
Molecule: ribosomal RNA, 258 nt
Filed under: uncultured soil bacterium
Lineage: Bacteria
Description: partial 16S ribosomal RNA
Rfam family: Bacterial small subunit ribosomal RNA
Source: RNAcentral